This 83-nucleotide transfer RNA is filed under the name Schistocephalus solidus. It matches the Rfam family "tRNA". From Rfam's summary of the family: Transfer RNA (tRNA) molecules are approximately 80 nucleotides in length. Lineage: Eukaryota; Metazoa; Platyhelminthes; Cestoda; Diphyllobothriidea; Diphyllobothriidae. The record is from Rfam by way of RNAcentral.
GGCCUCGUUGCUCAGUUGGCUAGAGCGUUGACUGUACUUAGGCCUUCCCCUUGCUACCAUGGGUUCGAAUCCCACCGAAGCCG